Oryza sativa Japonica Group (Japanese rice) is the source of this 1933-nucleotide long non-coding RNA. RefSeq lists it as uncharacterized. NCBI's taxonomy places the organism in Eukaryota, Viridiplantae, Streptophyta, Magnoliopsida, Poales, Poaceae. The record is from RefSeq and is a predicted model, not a curated record.
UUGUUUCCGCACCACCCCGCCACCCCCGUUCGCGCCCAAGUGGGGGAGACCGAGUCUCCCCACGUCCCACUCCUCCCCCGCAAAAUCGGCACCGAACCGCCGCCUCUCCGACCACAUCAGCGCGCCCAUGUCACCGGCCGGUUGCCGCCCUCAUCAGCCACGAUUCUCCCUCCCCGAGCGUAUAAAAACCACCCCCAUACCUCCCUCUCCAUUUUACCCUCUCUCCUAAGCCCUCCCAUGCCCGAAAACCACCGCGCCACCGCUGCUCCUCGCCUCCGCUGCUCGCCGGCGAUCUCCAGCCGCCCCUCACCGCCGCUCUAGCCAUCGCCGCACUAUGCCGCCUCCACCAAUGGCUUUGCCGUCACGCGCCGCACACCGGCAGCCGCUCCACUCCUCCAAACUGCCGCCCAAACACCUCCUCCCCGUGCAUCCGAGCCGCCACCACCUCUGUCGCGCUCCAGCCACACCUCACCGCCACCCUAGCCACCGCCGGGCCGCGCCGCCCCUGCCAUUCGCUUUACCGCUCCACGCAGCACACCGGCCCCUACUCCGUUCUCCCCUUCCACCCCCGCAGCUCCAUUCCCAUCGUGAGGCCGAGCCACUGCCUCCAGCCGCGCGCCACCGCCGCUCCCGCCACCGUUGUGCUGCGCCGCCUCCACUGCCGGCUUCGCCGCCACGCGGGCACGCUCAGCCUCCACUCCGUUUCACCAUUCUAUCACCGGAACUCCACCUCCACUGUCAACCCGAGUCGCCACCACCUCUACCGCCUCCAGCCGUCCCUCGCCGCCGCCGCCACGAGCGACCUCCGACCUCGCACUCUCCUUCAUCGACUUCGCAACAACGAUUGGGAGCCUGACAUCCCCCUCAUCCAAGCUCUUCGUCAACGGAAAAUCGAUUACCCGCUGUGAGAAGUCCUUCCGACCACCGUCUGCUGGUUCUCGCUCGCGAAACACCGCCGUUGCCGUGCCACCCCGAGGAGCCGCCACCACCUUCCUGUCACCUUCUUGCCAUUGCGCGAGCACGCGUGUAGUUUCCAUCGUUUCGGAAGCUCGCGGUCGUGAGGAAAAGUGUUCAAAAUAUCCAAGUGAAGAAGGAAGGCAAGUCACACAUUCCCCUUGAGCAUGUUGAUCCUAAUUUAGAAAUGUUUUCUCGUUUGCAAAUAAAUAUGCAUGUUUUGCAAAUUACAUGGGAUCCGGAUAUUACCUAUCUGCUCGCUUGUGCCAUGUUUACUUGAUAUCUGUUCUUUGUCAACCUUGGGUAAUAAAUCGACUAGCUUGUGUGACUAUGUUAACCUUGCUAGAACUAUUUGCUUAGCCAUGCUUAAUUACCACUAGUUCAGUUGAUGGGAUAAUUACAGUUUUAGACCUGUUAGUAUCAUGACGAGCUGCGUGCUCAAGACACCCAACCAUGUUGCAUUGGUCGUAAUUAUCCAACUAAAAUGCGACUGAAUGGUGGGUUGUGGGUGCAUGGUUUUGUUGGUCGCACCCAUGGCAAUUAAGGACCGGUUCGCGGGAUGCACUGGAAGACAUACAACGCUUGCCACAAGCGGGAAUGGGUAACUGCCUGACUUGAAGUAUAGCUUUCCUCUGGCUGACGUUCCCAAGAAAGGGUGGGCGUGAUGGAGUAGGGUCGCCCGGGGUGUUCGGUCUAUCGGCUUCUGGAUUCACCAUGGAACGAGAGGGGACUACCCGCUGCCUUGCGAGGAGUGGGGGUGAAACCUGAGGUGUGGUGCGAUUGGUCAGAGGGGGUUAUAUGAAGGGUCUUGUCACAAUCACUCGACAUGGUGACGUGUUCAUCAUGGGCGCAUGAUGACACGGUGACAUGCCGGUGGAUUGUGUCUUGUGGGUAUAGUUGUGCACCUCUGGCCAUAGUAAAACUAUUUGAAUAGCCGUGCCCGCAGUUAUGAGUGAUCGACCAGAUUCAUCGUGAUUAG